GAAAUAAGCAUUAUACGAUCUUGUGCUGUGGAAGAAAUAAAAGCGACGGACUGCAUAAUAAAGGUCCAUAUCACAAGUGGCAAUAUAAAGUGACGUUCUUUCGCAUUAAGAUUUUGUGCAUCCAACC
Molecule: non-coding RNA, 127 nt
Organism: Aegilops tauschii subsp. strangulata
Lineage: Eukaryota; Viridiplantae; Streptophyta; Magnoliopsida; Poales; Poaceae
Source: RefSeq, a predicted model, not a curated record